Molecule: long non-coding RNA, 1192 nt
Filed under: Bemisia tabaci
Lineage: Eukaryota; Metazoa; Arthropoda; Insecta; Hemiptera; Aleyrodidae
Description: lncRNA ENSSSA3NGG001656
Source: RNAcentral
GAACCGUGUUCGGUUUUUGAAGCCGCUUCUUUUCAUCCAUUUACUUCGGCAAUUAUGUGGAGUGACUGAAAGAUCUCUUGUAUUUUUGAACUAAUUGCUUUCCAAGCCCCAUUAUGAAGAAGGGGAAAGUGAAAAACUUUAAAACAGCUGUUUCAUGCAUUGUUUCCCAAAAUUCCACGAAUGAGCCGUCUCCAACGUCCUCUCAGCUGAGUCCUUUGUCCAAUGAUGUAACUCCUUCAAUCUCUACCUCUCAGAAUAACAACAUCACCCAUGCCCCUGCUACCAACUUAACAGGUGAUCAAAAUAACAAUAAUAACCUUAUCAAACCCAACCUCUCUUUUGCUCAUGCUGUUGCCGAUGCAGCCCCCUCAAUUACUAAAGAACACGCUGUAAUAAUUCCAGCCCAUGAUUCCAUCCCUCUUUUGGAGUACCUUCAACAAAUUAGUAAAUUCGUCUCUCCUAGUGAGAUCUUGUAUGCAUCUCGGAUUUCCUUCAAUAGAAUUUGUAUCUAUUUCAAGUCAAGAAAAUCCGUAGAUGAAACUGCUCAAAAGAUCAUACACACGAAAGAAGGCCCAUUGGUUAUCCGAAGAAUGAUUAAUCCUGAUGUCAGAUUAAUAUUUUCUAAUGUCAUUCCUACAUUACCUAAUCAAAAACUCAUCAACGCUGUCUCUGAAUUUGUUACACCAACCUCUCAGAUGCAGAGCGUUUCGACAGGUCUUAAAGAUCCUAUGUUUGCUCAUGUUCUGUCUUUUCGUAGACAAAUUUAUGUCAAAAGGGAGGCAAAAAAUAUCCAGCUUCCCCCCUCAGUAAUCAUUAACCAUAAUGGCGAAGAAAUAAAGGUAUUCCUAACUUUUGGAGAUACAAAACCAAUAAACACGACUGAAAAACAAACAUCGCGAACUGGCGCAAACAUCAAUACAAGAAUUGCUAAUAUUCAAUCUGAAAACAGUCAAAACACGGGAAUUGGAGAUUUCAUCUAAAAAUCCUUCUCAUAGUAGUACUUCUCAAACCAUCCCGCCUCAGCAAAAAUCUCCUCAAACUCAUCCAGUUGAUGAACCCCAAUCUGAUGCUCCUCAAUCAGAGGUUUCCUCCUCAAACGUCUCGCAUUCCAAUAAUACUGAUCUCCCCUCCACGGGUGUUCUCCACAAAGAUUUACAACACAAUGCUUCUCACAUUGUUCAGAACCCCAGAG